Long non-coding RNA from Apis florea (little honeybee), 395 nucleotides. The record is from RefSeq and is a predicted model, not a curated record. NCBI's taxonomy places the organism in Eukaryota, Metazoa, Arthropoda, Insecta, Hymenoptera, Apidae.
UCCAUGGAAAACAAAUAAAAGGUUUAAUAAAUUUAAGAAGGAAAGAAGGAAAGGUAAAAGGAUAUUAGAAUUAGAAAGAUUUGACAAAUAUUUUACUUUCUCGCAUCUUGAUGUACUUUAUAAAACAAAAGUGAAGAUUAAUUAACGGGAACAUCAAAGGAACACAGGUUUACCUCAAAUUUGGACAAUGUAGAUAUAGAAAAGACCCAAGUAACGAUAUCAUCCCACUCAUGGGGGUCUAUAUUAAGAAAAGAGAGCAUGAACAGGGGUUUUUAGUGGGUCGUCAUACAACAUCUCGUAACAACCCUACGCAAAGAUACGGGUCAAUGGAUAUGCUUUAGUGCUUUUUUCCCCUUCUUACGAAAAAAAUAAUAAUGAUAAAAAAAUAAAAAAUA